This 271-nucleotide ribosomal RNA is filed under the name uncultured bacterium KC312. Its description in RNAcentral is "partial 16S rRNA". It matches the Rfam family "Bacterial small subunit ribosomal RNA", at positions 216 to 484 of the family's 1533-position model. The record is from RNAcentral. Lineage: Bacteria; Pseudomonadati; Bacteroidota.
UGGUAAAAGAUGGGUAUGCGUUUUAUUAGGUAGAUGGUAAGGUGAACGGCUUACCAUGGCAACGAUAAGUAGGGGCCCUGAGAGGGGGAUCCCCCACACUGGUACUGAGACACGGACCAGACUCUACGGGAGGCAGCAGUGAGGAAUAUUGGGCAAUGGAGGCAACUCUGACCCAGCCAUGCCGCGUGCAGGAAGACUGCCCUAUGGGUUGUAAACUGCUUUUAUACAGGAAGAAACACACCUACGUGUAGGUGCUUGACGGUACUGUAAG